GGCGCCGGCCUCUAGGGGGCGCCCACCGAGAGGUUUCCCGGUGGGCUGCCCUGCUGUAGCUGUCCGGGGAUGCUGUGCUGGACGAGCGUCUCUUUAGCCACCCCCCAGCGCAGCCACUCACCUGCUGGGCUCCCUCUGCAGCAGAUUACCUGCUUGGGCAGUGGGGUUUGCUGUAACCCGAGCAGAGCACUGUGCUUCCUGCAGGCAGGGGGAGCCUGUGAACACCGGAAGCACUGUGAAGGGAGCAGGAAGCAGGCUGUGCUCAAAGUGCAUGGCUCUCCUGCUCCCCCAGGAGAAAGAGCAACAUCCUGGAUCCUACAGCCUGGACCUCUGCUCAGCAUAGCACCCAGGUAUGGCAUGGUUAAGGGGGAUUGCUUAUUGUGUGCAUGUUUGUAAAUGGGGGAGUGUGUUAAAUUGGUGUGUUUGUGUGUGUAAAUAAAGUGUGACCUUAUGUAAAGUUUGUGUUUGAGUGACAGUGUGUGUGUUAGGGAGAGUGUGCAAGUGACUCUCUGUGUGUGUGUAUGUGUGUGUGUGUGUGUGUGUGUGUGUGUGAUAGUGAGAAUGUGCAAGUGACUCUGGGUGUGUGUGUUAGGGAGAGUGUGCAAGUGACACUGUUAGUGAGUAUGUGUUAGGCAAAGUGUACAAGUGACACUGUUAGUGAGUAUGUGUUAGGGAGAGAGUGCAAGUGACAGUUACUGAGAGUGUGCAAGUGACACUGUUAGUGAGCAUGUGUGACACUGUGUGGUGUUAGAGUGUGUAACUGACAAUGUCUAUGCCAGUGAGAGUGUGUAAGUUAGAGUGUGUGUAUAAGUGAGAGUAUGUAGGUGACACUGUGUGUGUUAGUGAGAGUGUGUAAGUGACACUGUGUAUGUUAGUGAGAGUGUGCAAGUGACAAUGUGUAGGUCAGUGAGAAUGUGUAUGUGUUAGUGUGUAAGUUAGAGUUAGAAUGUGUAAGUGUGUAUGCCAGUGAGAGAGUGUGUGUAUUAGUGAGAUUGUGUAAGUGACACUGCAAAAGUAAUUAUUGCAAUUUUUAAGAAACUUCAAUAAUUACCAUUCAGGGUUAACUCCUCAUGGGGACGUCCAGUCACGGAAAUACCACUGUGAGCGCGGCCAUUGAGGAGCUAAGGCGGACCCAAGCCAGCACAAAAGACAUUGGUGCUGGACCCAGGUAAGUGACAGAAGGUGUUUUAACCCCUGCUGCACCACGAGGGGGGAUGCGCUUGACGGAGGGGGAAGCUAUAGUGCCAGGAUAACAAGUUUGUUUUCCUGGCACUAUAGUUUCCCUUUAAUAUCUACUCAGUGCGCAUCUUUCCCUAAAUGUCUCUUUAGUGUAAUUCAGAGUUUAGUGAAUAAACUUCUGAGGGAAUGUAGUUGCAUUCAUAAGGGGGCGUCAAAAUGUAUUCUUGCCUAGGGCAGCAAGAAUCCUUGCACCGGCCCUG
Pelobates cultripes (western spadefoot toad) is the source of this 1439-nucleotide non-coding RNA. Lineage: Eukaryota; Metazoa; Chordata; Amphibia; Anura; Pelobatidae. The record is from the annotation of a GenBank genome assembly.